AGACGCGACAGUCUGUCAGUUACCAGAGACGCGACAGUCUGUCAGUUACCAGAGACGCGACAGUCUGUCAGUUACCAGAGACGCGACAGUCUGUCAGUUACCAGAGACGCGACAGUCUGUCAGUUACCAGAGACGCGACAGUCUGUCAGUUACCAGAGACGCGACAGUCUGUCAGUUACCAGAGACGCGACAGUCUGUCAGUUACCAGAGACGCGACAGAAGGUCAGUUACGAGAGACGCGACAGAAGGUCAGUUACCAGAGAGACGCGACAGAAGGUCAGUUACCAGAGAGACGCGACAGAAGGUCAGUUACCAGAGAGACGCGACAGAAGGUCAGUUACCAGAGAGACGCGACAGAAGGUCAGUUACCAGAGAGACGCGACAGAAGGUCAGUUACCAGAGAGACGCGACAGAAGGUCAGUUACCAGAGAGACGCGACAGAAGGUCAGUUACCAGAGAGACGCGACAGAAGGUCAGUUACCAGAGAGACGCGACAGAAGGUUAGUUACCAGAGAGACGCGACAGAAGGUUAGUUACCAGAGAGACGCGACAGAAGGUUAGUUACCAGAGAGACGCGACAGAAGGUUAGUUACCAGAGAGACGCGACAGAAGGUUAGUUACCCAAUGUGUUGGUAUUUGUCAGACUU
Molecule: long non-coding RNA, 647 nt
Organism: Oncorhynchus keta (chum salmon)
Lineage: Eukaryota; Metazoa; Chordata; Actinopteri; Salmoniformes; Salmonidae
Exons: 3
Source: RefSeq, a predicted model, not a curated record